GAUGAACGCUGGCGGCGUGCCUAAUACAUGCAAGUCGAGCGAACGGACGAGAAGCUUGCUUUUCUGAUGUUAGCGGCGGACGGGUGAUUAACACGUGGAUAACCUACCUAUAAGACUGGGAUAACUUCGGGAAACCGGAUCUAAUACCGGAUAAUAUUUUGAACCGCAUGGUUCAAAAGUGAAAGACGGUCUUGCUGUCACUUAUAGAUGGAUCCUCGCUGCAUUAGCUAGUUGGUAAGGUAACGGCUUACCAAGGCAACGAUGCAUAGCCGACCUGAGAGGGUGAUCGGCCACACUGGAACUGAGACACGGUCCAGACUCCUACGGGAGGCAGCAGUAGGGAAUCUUCCGCAAUGGGCGAAAGCCUGACGGAGCAACGCCGCGUGAGUGAUGAAGGUCUUCGGAUCGUAAAACUCUGUUAUUAGGGAAGAACAUAUGUGUAAGUAACUGUGCACAUCUUGACGGUACCUAAUCAGAAAGCCACGGCUAACUACGUG
RNAcentral lists this ribosomal RNA (497 nucleotides) under uncultured bacterium. RNAcentral describes it as "partial 16S ribosomal RNA". It matches the Rfam family "Bacterial small subunit ribosomal RNA", at positions 28 to 507 of the family's 1533-position model. The record is from RNAcentral.